Molecule: ribosomal RNA, 253 nt
Filed under: uncultured Acidobacteriota bacterium
Lineage: Bacteria; Pseudomonadati; Acidobacteriota
Description: uncultured Acidobacteria bacterium partial 16S ribosomal RNA
Rfam family: Bacterial small subunit ribosomal RNA
Source: RNAcentral
UACGUAGGCAGCGAGCGUUGUUCGGAGUUACUGGGCGUAAAGAGUGCGUAGGCGGUGCUCUAAGUUUGGUGUGAAAUCUCCCGGCUCAACUGGGAGGGUGCGCCGAAAACUGGAGUGCUCGAGUAUGGGAGAGGUAAGCGGAAUUCCUGGUGUAGCGGUGAAAUGCGUAGAUAUCAGGAGGAACAUCUGCGGUGUAGACGGCUUACUGGACCAUGACUGACGCUGAGGCACGAAAGCGUGGGGAGCAAACAGG